This 441-nucleotide ribosomal RNA is filed under the name uncultured bacterium. RNAcentral's name for it is "bacterial SSU rRNA". It matches the Rfam family "Bacterial small subunit ribosomal RNA", at positions 958 to 1392 of the family's 1533-position model. The record is from RNAcentral.
AACGCGAAGAACCUUACCAAGGCUUGACAUACGCCGGAAAGCAUCAGAGAUGGUGCCCCCCUUGUGGUCGGUGUACAGGUGGUGCAUGGCUGUCGUCAGCUCGUGUCGUGAGAUGUUGGGUUAAGUCCCGCAACGAGCGCAACCCUUGUCCUGUGUUGCCAGCAUGCCCUUCGGGGUGAUGGGGACUCACAGGAGACCGCCGGGGUCAACUCGGAGGAAGGUGGGGACGACGUCAAGUCAUCAUGCCCCUUAUGUCUUGGGCUGCACACGUGCUACAAUGGCCGGUACAAUGAGCUGCGAUACCGUGAGGUGGAGCGAAUCUCAAAAAGCCGGUCUCAGUUCGGAUUGGGGUCUGCAACUCGACCCCAUGAAGUCGGAGUUGCUAGUAAUCGCAGAUCAGCAUUGCUGCGGUGAAUACGUUCCCGGGCCUUGUACACACCG